CCAAUAGCGUAUAUUAAAGUUGUUGCAGUUAAAAAGCUCGUAGUUGAAUUUCGGGAUCAAUAUAUCGGUCGUGCCAUCGGUACGUACUGGUAUGAUUGGUUUCUCCUUUCUGACGAACCAUGAUGUCAUUAAUUUGGUGUUAUGGGAAGUUAGGACUGUUACUUUGAAAAAAUUAGAGUGUUUAAAGCAGGCUUUAGCUUGAAUACAUUAGCAUGGAAUAAUGAAAUAGGACGUUCGAACCUAUUUUGUUGGUUUCUAGGAUCAACGUAAUGAUUAAUAGGGAUAGUUGGGGCAUUAGUAUUCAAUUGUCAGAGGUGAAAUUCUUGGAUUUAUUGAAGACUAACUACUGCGAAAGCAUUUGCCAAGGAUGUUUUCAUUAAUCAAGAACGAAAGUUAGGGGAUCGAAGACGAUCAGAUACCGUCGUAGUCUUAACCAUAAACUAUGCCGACUAGGGAUCGGAUGAUGUUAAUUUUUUAAUGACUCAUUCGGCGCCUUACA
Molecule: ribosomal RNA, 499 nt
Filed under: uncultured Glomeromycotina
Lineage: Eukaryota; Fungi; Glomeromycota
Description: partial small subunit ribosomal RNA
Rfam family: Eukaryotic small subunit ribosomal RNA
Source: RNAcentral